This 460-nucleotide ribosomal RNA is filed under the name uncultured bacterium. RNAcentral describes it as "partial 16S ribosomal RNA". It matches the Rfam family "Bacterial small subunit ribosomal RNA", at positions 338 to 795 of the family's 1533-position model. The record is from RNAcentral.
CCUACGGGGUGCAGCAGUGAGGAAUAUUGGUCAAUGGGCGCGAGCCUGAACCAGCCAAGUAGCGUGAAGGAUGACUGCCCUACGGGUUGUAAACUUCUUUUAUAAAGGAAUAAAGUGAGGCACGUGUGCCUUUUUGUAUGUACUUUAUGAAUAAGGAUCGGCUAACUCCGUGCCAGCAGACGCGGUAAUACGGAGGAUACGAGCGUUAUCCGGAUUUAUUGGGUUUAAAGGGAGCGUAGAUGGGUUGUUAAGUCAGUUGGGAAAGUUUGGGGCUCAACCGUAAAAUUGCAAUUGAUACUGGCAGUCUGGAGUACAGUUGAGGUAGGCGGAAUUCGUGGUGUAGCGGUGAAAUGCUUAGAGAUCACGAAGAACUCCGAUUGCGAAGGCAGCCUACUAAACUGCCACUGACAUUGAUGCUCGAAAGUGUGGGUAUCAAACAGGAUUAGAUACCCUUGUAGUC